GCCCGGGUGGCGAAACGGCAGACGCGGCGAUCUUAAAAAUCGCUGCCCACCAGGGCACACGGGUUCGACUCCCGUCCCGGGCA
This 83-nucleotide transfer RNA is filed under the name Streptomyces boncukensis. It matches the Rfam family "tRNA". From Rfam's summary of the family: Transfer RNA (tRNA) molecules are approximately 80 nucleotides in length. Their secondary structure includes four short double-helical elements and three loops (D, anti-codon, and T loops). The record is from Rfam by way of RNAcentral. Lineage: Bacteria; Bacillati; Actinomycetota; Actinomycetes; Kitasatosporales; Streptomycetaceae.